RNAcentral lists this ribosomal RNA (402 nucleotides) under uncultured bacterium. RNAcentral describes it as "bacterial SSU rRNA". It matches the Rfam family "Bacterial small subunit ribosomal RNA", at positions 362 to 758 of the family's 1533-position model. The record is from RNAcentral.
UAUUGGACAGUGGGCGAAAGCCUGAUCCAGCAAUACCGCGUGUGUGAAGAAGGCCUUAGGGUUGUAAAGCACUUUCAAUUGGGAGGAAAACCUACCGGUCAAUACCCGGUAGCUUGACAUUACCUUUAGAAGAAGCACCGGCUAACUCCGUGCCAGCAGCCGCGGUAAUACGGAGGGUGCGAGCGUUAAUCGGAAUUACUGGGCGUAAAGCGUGCGUAGGCGGUUCGUUAAGUCAGAUGUGAAAGCCCUGGGCUCAACCUGGGAACGGCAUUUGAAACUGGCGGACUAGAGUUUAGUAGAGGGGAGUGGAAUUUCAGGUGUAGCGGUGAAAUGCGUAGAUAUCUGAAGGAACACCAGUGGCGAAGGUGACUCCCUGGACUAGAACUGACGCUGAGUACGAAA